Molecule: ribosomal RNA, 483 nt
Filed under: uncultured bacterium
Lineage: Bacteria
Description: partial 16S ribosomal RNA
Rfam family: Bacterial small subunit ribosomal RNA
Source: RNAcentral
GACGAACGCUGGCGGCGUGCCUAACACAUGCAAGUCGAGCGGGGAUUUAAGUGGAAGUUCUUCGGAAUGGAGAUUUAAAUUCUAGCGGCGGACGGGUGAGUAACGCGUGAACAAUCUGUCCCGGACAGGGGGAUAACACUUGGAAACAGGUGCUAAUACCGAAUAAGACCACGGCCUCGCAUGGGGCUGAGGUAAAAGGAGCAAUCCGGUUCGGGGUGAGUUCGCGUCCGAUUAGCUAGUUGGUGAGGUAACGGCCCACCAAGGCGACGAUCGGUAGCCGGCCUGAGAGGGUGAACGGCCACAUUGGAACUGAGAGACGGUCCAAACUCCUACGGGAGGCAGCAGUGGGGAAUAUUGGGCAAUGGGCGAAAGCCUGACCCAGCAACGCCGCGUGAGGGAAGAAGGUUUUCGGAUUGUAAACCUCUGUCCUAUGGGACGAAGGAAGUGACGGUACCAUAGGAGGAAGCCCCGGCUAACUACGUG